RNAcentral lists this ribosomal RNA (429 nucleotides) under uncultured bacterium. RNAcentral describes it as "bacterial SSU rRNA". It matches the Rfam family "Bacterial small subunit ribosomal RNA", at positions 355 to 775 of the family's 1533-position model. The record is from RNAcentral.
UGGGGAAUAUUGGGCAAUGGGCGAAAGCCUGACCCAGCGACGCCGCGUGGGUGAUGAAGGCCUUCGGGUUGUAAAGCCCUUUCGUGCGGAAAGAACAGCCCUGUAGUUAAUACCUGCAGGGUUUGACGGUACCGCAGGAAGAAGCACCGGCUAACUCCGUGCCAGCAGCCGCGGUAAUACAGAGGGUGCAAGCGUUGUUCGGAAUUAAUGGGCGUAAAGGGCGCGUAGGUGGUUGUGAUAGUCAGAUGUGAAAUCCUUCGGCUUAACUGAAGAACUGCAUCUGAAACUUCACAACUCGGGUACAGGAGAGGGAAACGGAAUUCCCGGUGUAGAGGUGAAAUUCGUAGAUAUCGGGAGGAACACCAGUGGCGAAGGCGGUUUCCUGGCCUGAUACUGACACUGAGGCGCGAAAGCGUGGGGAGCAAACAG